GUCUUUGGGAUUCAGUUGAGAGAGAAACUGUCUCUCUGGAGCUGAAGAGGAAAGGAGAGAGAAGUGUGGCUGAAUCUAAGAUCAGUUCCCAAGGCAAUAGCCUGUGAAGAUCCUUUGGCUGUGGUGAGGAUUUAUUUUUCAAUCAUCUGCUGGUCAGGGAUUGAGGAGCUGUCUUCAACUUGGAGGAGUUAUCAUCUGUGGACAUUUCACCUUGGAUUCCUGUUUUGGCUCCCAGAGACUCUAUUUUUGACACCACUGGUAAAGAGUUCAGUCUAAUAAGGGGAAUGGCAUGGCAGUGCAGUGAGCAGUGGAAAUGAAGUGGCUCAUCCUCCUACCCUCCUUUGGGAAUGGAAGAGAAGAAAGCCAUCCCUUAUGAAAAAGAAUUUUUAAAAAGAAAUAAAAGGAAACAUAUGAGGAAAGAAAAGCCAUCAAAGAUGAUCAAAGCAUCAAAAAAGAAUCUGAUGCAAUGCUCCAUUCUUGUUUUCCAACUUCUGCAAAGGAGAAGUGAAAGCAGAUGCUUUUCCUGGCAAGUACUACAGUGUGGGAAGUAUGAUGCCACCUGAGAAGCAACACAAACCUAGAUACAAAUCAUUCUACUCAAGUCUUGGAGCUGUCCUCAAAGAAAAACAAACUUGGCACUAGACAUAAACUAAAUGAGUGCCAAGAGCUGCCAGCACAUUAAGACCAAAGCCCAACAGAAACAGAGCCCCUCGGCAACUUCUAGAGGGAAUAUCAGCUAAGGAGGAAAGAGAAUUGGAGUUGUGUUCCUUACAGAAACACCAUUAUGCUCAGUCAUAGGGGUUUUACAUCUAGAACAGACUUAAUUCACUCCCAUGAAAAUAAUCUUGAAGGUGUACAAAUAAGGCCAAUUAUGAUUUACUCAGAUUCCCUAUGUUUCCCACAUGGAAAGGAAGGCUUAAGUUUCCAUUCAGAAAGAGGCAAAAGGAAGAAUUUAACCCAUGUUACAUUGCAUUUGCAUGAAGCAUACCUAUUGACUGAAAGUGAAUCCAGUGGUCUGUGGGCAAUUGAGCUAAUCCAGCUUGGGAGCUGUGUUUUCAAAAUCAAUACCACAUUUUCCUUCUAUAUACUCAUGAAUAUGGCACUUUAUAAUUCAAACCAAGGUUGGUCCACUACACUUCUACCUCCUAUUUGGGUAGAGAACAUUGGCAGGUCCCAUGAUCAGAGGAAGCAAAACAAUGAACAAGAUACCAGUUUCCCAAUAUAGUCAACCUUACAAAUGGGAAAUGAUGAUUUCCCUUCACUCAUAUUACACAAAAAAAAUGGCAAAAUGCAUUCCCCCUAAGCAUCAAAAUAAAGGAUAUUAAAGAAGCAAUUGUAUAGUUUUAUCAAAUUAUAGACUUAGAGCUAGAAGGUACCAAAAAAGUAGAAUGCAGCCCUUAAACUUUAUAGAUGAAAAAAAUCAAGCUCUGGAUGGGUUAAGUAGUAAGCCUUCUGUUACAAAAGUAGUAAGUAAUGGGGUCAGGACUCAGGUCCUUUGACUCCUAAUCCAGAAUGUACCAUUCAGCUUCUUAAGAAAUUCUAGAUCUGGAAACAACCUCCUGAGUAACCAAGUCCAAUGUAAUCAAGAAUCUCCUUUAAAUAGCAGAAUCAGCUUAGCAUUCUCAUUAGCAUUCUCAUUAAUGCAAAGGUGCUUAGCCUUUUCUGUCAUGGAUACCUUUGGCAGUCUGAUCCCCAAUCAGAAUCAUGUUUUUAAUUUCAUAAAAUAAAAUAUGUAGAACUAUAAAAGAAACCAAUUUUAUUUAGUCAUCAAAGUAUUAAUAAGUUGAUGGAUCUCAAUUAAGAAUUAAGGUUAAGAAUUCUUCUGUAAUGCCUCUAGUCAGCACAAGUAAUUAAUGUCUGAAGGCAGUCCAGUCUUCUCUUAAAACUGUGAAUUUUAGAUUUACUCCACCCUAAUUAGUCUUUAGAAUUUUAGCAAUCAAGGAAUGUAUACACCCCCACUUAAGUAUUAACUGUGGGGGAAUAUGGCCUAAUGCAGGCAUGUGCUAGCAAGUGACAAAUCAGAAACAAUUGACUGACCCCCUGGGCUUUCCUAAGCCAAGCUUAAGCCACCAUUGGUACAUGUGAGACACAGGAAGUGAUGCAAAGAACUGCCUUUAUAUUUCACUUCACUUCCUGUGAUCAUGGGCUUGGUGGCAUCGGGAGCUUUGGUGGACUUGGCCCUGGAACUCGAACCUGGAGGAGCUCCUCAGACUGCUUCCUUUUAGAUGGUCAUGUGGUGAGUGAUAAGAUUGACUCUCCUUUCCCUUGGCUUUCUGGAGAGGCCCCUUGGCUGAAGCCUCUGAACUCCUGCCUGGCUCAGCCCAGACUGGAGCAGUUUUAAUUCCCUUUCCCUCUCUCUCUCUUUCUUAAUUUCUUCCUUCUGUUGUAAUUAAACCACCAUAACAUCCCAAACUGAGUUGAGUAUUUCAUUGGGAUUGAAUUUAAAUCCCUGGCAACCACUAAUAUAAUAUAUUCAGUCAACAAUCCUAAAAUUUACCCAUAACAGAACCUCUGUUAGGAAAUGCUUCAACACCCCAAAUUUCUGUCUUCCUGGAUAUUGGCAACUCUGGGGGUAUAAUUUCAUACAACCAAAUUUUGCCUUUUUCUUUUGAAUCUGUGUGCUUGUGUGAAGAUCAACUGGAAAUGGUGAAAAUAAUAUUGCUGAAAUCCAAAGUGGUCCUUCAGGAACUUGUCUUGAUCUGUUUAGUAAAGUGAACUGAGCUAUCAUGCCUCCUUAGAUGUAGGAAAGUAAGAGGUGUCAGGCUUAUGAAAGAUGAAGGGUCUGAAGCUAUCCUAGGUAUUUCUGUUAAUGGGUUUUCUUACCUGUGCCGUUUAUAUUGGACCCUUUAGAAGUAACAUCAGUCAGUGCCACUCCCACUCACCCUCCCUCCCUGAAAUGCAAUAAAGAUUUCAUAAAUUUCAGGGAAGAGUGGAAAAUUUAUAUAAGCAAGUGUUUAUAGGAAUGUCAAAAAGGAAUUUCUAAAGCAGAGGUUCUUUAACAUUUUUGUGUCAUAGGCCCUUUUGGCAGUAUGGUAAAACCUAUGAACUCACUCAGAAUAAUGUUUUAAAAUCCAUAGUACAAAACACAUAGGAUUAUGAAGGAAACCCUUUCUAUUAAAAUAUUGUUAUCUCUAUUUGUACAACCCAGUAGAAUUGCUUGUCGGCUCUGGGA
This is a long non-coding RNA of Monodelphis domestica (gray short-tailed opossum), 3172 nucleotides long. RefSeq lists it as uncharacterized. The record is from RefSeq and is a predicted model, not a curated record. NCBI's taxonomy places the organism in Eukaryota, Metazoa, Chordata, Mammalia, Didelphimorphia, Didelphidae.